RNAcentral lists this ribosomal RNA (505 nucleotides) under Cervidellus vexilliger. RNAcentral's name for it is "SSU rRNA". It matches the Rfam family "Eukaryotic small subunit ribosomal RNA", at positions 88 to 590 of the family's 1831-position model. Lineage: Eukaryota; Metazoa; Nematoda; Chromadorea; Rhabditida; Cephalobidae. The record is from RNAcentral.
CGCGAAUGGCUCAUUACAACAGCUAUAAUUUACUUGAUCUUGACACAAUCCUACUUGGAUAACUGUGGUAAUUCUAGAGCUAAUACAUGCAUUAAAGCUCUGACCUCGCGGGAAGAGUGCAUUUAUUAGAACAAAACCAAGCGGCCUCGGCUGUUUUCGGUUGACUCAUAGUAACUGAGCUGAUCGCAUGGUCUUGCACCGGCGACGUGUCUUUCAAGUAUCUGCCGUAUCAACUUUCGAUGGUAGUGUAUCUGACUACCAUGGUGAUCACGCGUAACGGAGAAUAAGGGUUCGACUCCGGAGAGUUCGCCUGAGAAAUCGCGAACACAUCUAAGGAAGGCAGCAGGCGCGAAAAUUACCCACUCUCAGCACGAGGAGGUAGUGACGAAAAAUAACGAGACCGUUCUCUUAUGAGGCCGGUCAUCGGAAUGGGUACAAUUUAAACCCUUUAACGAGUAUCUAUGAGAGGGCAAGUCUGGUGCCAGCAGCCGCGGUAAUUCCAGCU